Molecule: ribosomal RNA, 301 nt
Filed under: uncultured bacterium
Lineage: Bacteria
Description: partial 16S ribosomal RNA
Rfam family: Bacterial small subunit ribosomal RNA
Source: RNAcentral
CAGUCGCCGCGGUAAUACGUAGGUGGCAAGCGUUGUCCGGAAUUAUUGGGCGUAAAGGACUCGCAGGCGGUUUCUUAAGUCUGAUGUGAAAGCCCCCGGCUCAACCGGGGAGGGUCAUUGGAGACUGGGAAACUUGAGUGCAGAAGAGGAGAGUGGAAUUCCACGUGUAGCGGUGAAAUGCGUAGAGAUGUGGAGGAACACCAGUGGCGAAGGCGACUCUCUGGUCUGUAACUGACGCUGAGGAGCGAAAGCGUGGGGAGCGAACAGGAUUAGAUACCCCCGUAGUCCCUGUCUCUUAUAC